This 450-nucleotide ribosomal RNA is filed under the name uncultured bacterium. Its description in RNAcentral is "partial 16S ribosomal RNA". It matches the Rfam family "Bacterial small subunit ribosomal RNA", at positions 354 to 796 of the family's 1533-position model. The record is from RNAcentral.
GUGGGGAAUUUUGGACAAUGGGCGCAAGCCUGAUCCAGCAAUGCCGCGUGCAGGAAGAAGGCCUUCGGGUUGUAAACUGCUUUUGUACGGAACGAAAAGGCUCUGGUUAAUACCUGGGGCUCAUGACGGUACCGUAAGAAUAAGCACCGGCUAACUACGUGCCAGCAGCCGCGGUAAUACGUAGGGUGCAAGCGUUAAUCGGAAUUACUGGGCGUAAAGCGUGCGCAGGCGGUUUUGUAAGACAGGCGUGAAAUCCCCGGGCUCAACCUGGGAAUGGCGCUUGUGACUGCAAAGCUGGAGUGCGGCAGAGGGGGAUGGAAUUCCGCGUGUAGCAGUGAAAUGCGUAGAUAUGCGGAGGAACACCGAUGGCGAAGGCAAUCCCCUGGGCCUGCACUGACGCUCAUGCACGAAAGCGUGGGGAGCAAACAGGAUUAGAUACCCUAGUAGUCC